CAGUGUACCCGCGGCAAGACGGAAAGACCCCGUGAACCUUUACUAUAGCUUGACACUGAACACUGGUCCUUGAUGUGUAGGAUAGGUGGGAGGCUUUGAAGCGUGGACGCCAGUCUGCGUGGAGCCGUCCUUGAAAUACCACCCUUUAAUGGCUGGUGUUCUAACGUAGACCCGUGAUCCGGGUUGCGGACAGUGUCUGGUGGGUAGUUUGACUGGGGCGGUCUCCUCCCAAAGAGUAACGGAGGAGCACGAAG
Molecule: ribosomal RNA, 254 nt
Filed under: Enterobacter hormaechei
Lineage: Bacteria; Pseudomonadati; Pseudomonadota; Gammaproteobacteria; Enterobacterales; Enterobacteriaceae
Also listed under: 2 other names
Description: partial 23S ribosomal RNA
Rfam family: Bacterial large subunit ribosomal RNA
Source: RNAcentral